GCUUUCGAUCGCCGCCGGCUCCGCGGACCCCACAAUUGCUGGCCUGGUCCCUCCGCAGUUGCUAUCGCUCCCUGCGCUGGACUGACAUCAAAUACGCUAGGACCGCAAUUACUGACGGGUGCGACCAUACCUGCACUAAUGCACCGGAUCCCAUCAGAGCUCCGAAGUUAAGCGUGCUUGGGCGAGAGUAGUACUAGUUUGGUUGACCCCCUCGGAAGUCCUCGUGUUGCAACCCUUUUCCCCUUUUGUACAAUUUUUUUUUACCCUUCUCGCCGCUGAAGCAAUUUUUUUCCCUAUCCCGCCCUCCAAGCGCUCCCCGCCGGCCCCUCGCUUUCGAUCGCCGAGGACUUCGCGGACCCCACAAUCGCUGGCCCGGUCCCUCCGCUGUUGCGAUCGCUCCCUUUGCUGGACUGACAUGAAAUACGCUCGGAUCGCAAUUACUGACUGGUGCGACCAUACCAGCGCUAACGCGCCGGAUCCCAUCAGAACUCUGGAGUUAAGCGUGCUCGGGGGAGGGUAGUCCUAGGAUGGUUGACCCCCUGGGAAGUCCUCGUGUUUUACCCCCUUUCUCCUUUUGUACAAUUUUUUUUUUACCCUUCUCGCCGCUGAAGCAGUUUUUUCCCCUCUCCCGCCCCUCCGAGCGCUCCCCGCUGGCCCCUCGCUUUCGAUCGCCCCCGGCUCCGCGGACCCCACAAUCGUUGGCCCGGUCCCUCCGCGGUUGCGAUCGCUCCCUACGCUGGACAGACAUCAAAUACGCUCGGACCGCAAUUAUUGAUGGGUGCGACCAUACCAGCACUAACGCAUCGGAUCCCAUCAGAACUCCGAAGUUAAGCGUGCUUGGGCGAGAGUAGUACUAGGAACCGCAAUUACUGACGGGUGCGACCAUACCAGCACUAACGCAUCGGAUCCCAUCAGAACUCCGAAGUUAAGCGUGCUUGGGCGAGAGUAGUACUAGGAUGGGUGAACCCCUGAGAAGUCCUCGUAUGGCACCCCUUUUCUCCUUUUGUACAAUUUUUUUUUACCCUUCUCGCCGCUGAAACAAUUUUUUUCCCCUAUCUCGCCCCUCCAAGCGCUCCCCGUUGAUCCCUCGCUUUCGAUCGCCGCCGGCUCCGCGGACCCCACAAUCGCUGGCCCGGUCCCUCCGCGGUUGCGAUCGCUCCCUACGCAGGACUUACAUCAAAUACGCUUGGACCGCAAUUACUGACUGGUGCGACCAUACCAACACUAACGCACCGGAUCCCAUCAAAACACCGAAGUUAAGCGUGCUUGGGCGAGAGUAGUACUAGGAAGGGUGACCCCCUGGGAAGUCCUCGUAUAACACCUCUUUUCUCCUUUUGUACAAUUUUUUUUUACCCUUCUCGCCGCUGAAGCAAUUUUUUUCCGCUAUCCCGCCCCUCCAAGAGCUCCCCGCUGGCCCCUCGCCUUCGAUCGCCGUCGGCUCCGCGGACCCCACAAUCGCUGGCCCGGUCCAUCCGCAAUUGCAAUCGCUCUCGGAGCUGGACUGACAUUAAAUACGCUCGGACCGCAAUUACUGACGGGUGCGACCAUACCCGCACUAACGUACCGGAUCCCAUCAGAACUCCGAAGUUAAGCGUGCUUGGGUGAGAGUAGAACUAGGAUGGGUGAACCUCUGGGACGUCCUCGUGUUGCACCCCUUUUCUCCUUUUGUAUAAUUUUUUUUUACCCUUCUCGCCACUGAAGCAAUUUUUACCCUAUCCCACCCCACCAAGCGCUCCCCGCGGGCCCCUUACUUUCUAUAGCCACGGGCUCCGCGGACCCCACAAUCGCUGGCCCGUUCCCUCCGCGAUUGCGGUCACUCCCUGCACUGGACUGACAUCAAAUACUCUGGGAUCGCAAUUACUGACGGGUGCGACCAUACUAGCAUUAACGCACCGGAUCCCAUCCGAAAUCCGAAGUUAAGCGUUCUUGGGCGAGUGUAGUACUAGGAUGGGUGACCCGUUGGGACGUCCUCGUGUUGCACCCCUUUUCUCCUUUUGUACAAUUUUUUUUUACCCUUUUCGCCGCAGAAGGAAUUUUUUUCCCUAUCCCGCCCCUCCAAGCGCACCCCGCUGGACCCUCGCUAACGAUUGCCGCCGCCUCCGCGAACCCCACAAUCGCUGGCCCGGUCCCUCCAUAGUUGCUAUCGCUCCCUGCGUUGGACUGACAUCUAAUACGCUUGGACCGCAAUUACCGACGGAGCGACAAUACCAGCACUAACGCCCCGGAUCCCAUCAGAACUCCGAAAUUAAGCGUGCUUGGGCGAGAGUAGUACUAGGAUGGUUGACCCCCUGGGAAGUCCUCGUGUUGCAUCCUUUUCGCCUUUUGUGCAAUUUUUUUUUACCCUUCUCGCCGUCGAAGCAAUUUUUUCCCCUAUCCCGCCCCUCCAAGUGCUCCCCGCUGGCCCCUCGCUUUCGAUCGCCGCCGGCUCCGCGGACCCCACAAUCGCUGGCCCGGUCCCUCCGCGAUUGCGAUCGCUCCCUGAGCUGGACUGAUAUCAAAUACGCUCGGUCAGCAAUUACUGACGGGUGCGACCAUACCAGCACUAACGCACCGGAUCCCAUCAGAACUCUGAAGUUAAGCGUGCUUGGGCGAGAGUAGUACUAGGAUGGGUGACCCCCUGGAAAGUCCUCGUGUUGCACCCCUUUUCUCCUUUUGUACAAUUUUUUUUUACCCUUCUCACCGCUGAAGCAAUUUUUUUCCAAUAUCCCGCCCCUCCAAGCGCUCCCCACUGUCCCCUCGCUUUCGAGCGCCGUCGGCUCCUUAGACCCCAUAAUCGUUGGCCCGGUCCCUCCGCGGUUGCGAUCGCUCCCUGCGCUGGACUGACAUCAAAUACGCUCGGACCGCAAAUACUGAUGGGUGCGACCAUACCGGCACUAAAGCACCGGAUCCCAUCAGAACUCCGAGGUUAAGCAUGCUUGGGCGAGAGUAGUACUAGGAUGGGGGACCCCCUGGGAAGUCCUUGUGUUACACCUCUUUUCCCCUUUUGAACAAUUUUUACCCUUCUCGCCGCUGAAGCAAUUUUUUCCCCUAUCCUGCCCCUCCAAGCGCUCCUCGCUGGCCCCUCGCUUUCGAUCGCCGCCGGCUCUGCCGACCCGACAAUUGCAGGCCCGGCUAUCGCUCCCCGCGCUAGAAUGAUAUCAAAUACGCUCGGACCGCAAUUACUGACGGGUGCGACCAAACCAGCACUAACGCACCGGAUCCCAUUAGAACUCCGAAGUUAAGCGUGCUUGGGCGAGAGUAGUACUUGGAUGGGUGACCCCCUAGAAAGUCCUCGUGUUGCACUCCUUUUCUCCUUUUGCACAAUUUUUUUUACCCUUCUUGCCGCUGAAGCAAUUUUUUCCCCUAUCCCGCCCCUUCAAGCGCUCCACGCUGGCCCUUCGCUUUCGAUCGCCGCCGGCUCCGCGGACCCCACAAUCGUUGGCUCGGUCCCUCCGCGGUUGUGAUCGGUCCCUGCGCUGGACUGACAUCAAAUACGCUCGGACCGCAAUUAUUGACUGGUGCGACCAUAACAGCACUAACGCACCGGAUCCCAUCAGAACUCCGAAGUUAAGCGUGAUCGGGCGAGAGUAGCUCUAGGAUGGGUGACCCCCUGGGUAGUCCUCGUGUAGCACCCCUUUUCUCCUUUUGUACGAUUUUUUUUUACCAUUCUCACCGCCGAAGCAAUUUUUUCCCCUAUCCCGCCCCUCCAAGCGCUCCCUGCUGGCCCCUCGCUUUCGAUAGCCGCUGGCUCCUUGGACCCCACAAUCACUGGCCCGGUCCCUCCGCGGUUUUGAUCGCUCCCUGCGCUGGAUUGACAUCAAAUACGCUCCGACCGCAAUUACUGAUGGGUGCGACCAUACCAGCACUAACGCACCGGAUCCGAUCAGAACUCCGAUGUUAAGCGUGCUUGGGCGAGAGUAGUACUAGGAUGGGUGACCCCCUGGGAAGUCCUCGUGUUGCACCCUUUUUCUCCUUUUGAACAAUUUUUUUUUUUACCCUUCUCGCCGCUGAAGCAAUUUUUCCCCCUAUCCCACCACUCCAAGCGCUCCCCGCCGGCCCCUCACAUUGGAUCGCCGCGGGCUCCGCGGACCCCACAAUUGCUAGCCCGGUCCCUCCGCGGUUGCUAUCGCUCCCUACGCUGGACUGACAUCAAAUACGCUCGGACCGCAAUUAAUGAUGGGUGCGACAAUAUCAACACUAACGCACCGGAUCCCGUAAGAACUCCGAAGUUAAGCGUGCUUGGGCGAGAGUAGUACUAGGAUGGUUGGCCCCCUGGGAAGUCCUCCUGUUGCACCCCUUUUCUCCUUCUGCCCAAUUUUUUUUUCUACCCUUCUCGCCGCUGAAGCAAUUUUUUCCCCUAUCCCGCUCGUCCAAGCGCUCCCCGCUGGCCCCUAGCUUUCGAUCGCCGUCGGCUCCGCGGACCCCACAAUCGCUCCCUGCGCUGGACUGACAUCAAAUACGCUCGGACCACAAUUACUGAUGGGUGCGACCAUAUCAGCACUAAUGCUCCGGAUCCCGUCAGAACUCCGAAGUUAAGCGUGCUUGGGCGAGAGUAGUACUACGAUGGUUGGCCCCCUGGGAAGUCCUCCUGUUGCACCCCUUUUCUCCUUUUGCACAAUUUUUUUUUCUACCCUUCUCGCCACUGAAGCAAUUUUUUCCCCCAUCCCGCCCGUCCAAGGGCUCCCCGUUGGCCCCUCGCUUUCGAUCGCCGUGGGCUCCGCAGACCCGGACCCCACAAUCGCUGGCCCGGUCCCUCCUCGGUUGCGAUUGCUCCCUGCGCUGGACUGACAUCAAAUACGCUCGGACCGCAAUUACUGACUGGUGCGACCAUACCAGCACUAACGCACCGGAUCCCAUCAGAACUCCGAAGUUAAGCGUGCUCGGGCGAGAGUAGUACUAGGAUGGGUGAACCCCUGGGACGUCCUCAUGUUGCACCCCUUUUCUCCUUUUGUACAAUUUUUUUUUACCCUUCUCGCUGCUGAAGCAAUUUUUCCCCUAUCCCGCCCCUCCAAGCGCUCCCCGCUGGCCCCUCGCUUUCGAUCGACACGGGCUCCGCAGACCCCACAAUCGCUGGCUCGGUCCCUCCGCGGUUACGAUCGCUCCCUACGCUGGACUGACAUCAAAUACGCUCGGGCCGCAAAUACUGAUGGGUGCGACCAUAACCACACUAACGCACCGGAUCCCAUCAUAACUCCGAAGUUAAGCGUGCUUGGGCGAGAGUAGUACUAGGAUGGGUGACCCCCUGGAAAGUCCUCGUGUUGCACCCCUUUUCUCCUUUUGUACAAUUUUUUUUUACCCUUAUCGCCGCUGAAGCAAUUUUUUUCCGCUAUCCCGCCCCGCCAAGCGCUCCCCACUGGCCCCUCGCUUUCGAUCCCCGUCUGCUCCGCGGACCCCACAAUCGUUGGCCCGUUCCCUCUGCGGUUGCGAUCGCUCCCUGCGCUGGACUGACAUCAACUACGCUCGGACCGCAAAUACUGACGGGUGCGACCAUACCGGCACUAAAGCGCUGGAUCCCAUCAGAACUCCGAAGUUAAGCAUGUUUGGGCGAGAGUAGUACUAGGAUGGGUGACCCCCAGGGAAGUCCUCAUAUUACACCCCUUUUCUCCUUUUGAACAAUUUUUUUUUUUACCCUUCUCGCCACUGAAACAAUUUUUCCCCUAUCUCUCCCCUCCAAGUGCUCCCCGCUGGCCCCUCGCAUUCGAUUGCCGUCUGCUCCGCGGACCCCACAAUUGCUGGCCCGAUCCCUCCGCGGUUGCUAUCGCUCCCUGCGCAGGACUGAUAUCAAAUACGCUCGGACCGCAAUUACUGACGGGUGCGACCAUACCAGCACUAACGCACCGGAUCCCCUCAGAACUCCAAAGUUAAGCGUGCUUGGGCGAGAGUAGUACUAGGAUGGUUGACCCCCUGGGAAGUCCUCGUGUUGCACUCCUUUUCUCCUUUUGUACAAUUUUUUUUAUACCCUUCUCGCCGCUGAAGCAAUUUUUUCCCCAAUCCCGCCCCUCCAAGCGCUCCCCGCUGGCCCCUCGCUUUUGAUCGCCAUGGGCUCCGCGGACCCCACAAUCGCUGGCCCGGUCCUUCCGCGGAUGCGAACGCUCCCUGCGGUGGACUGACAUCAAAUACGCUCGGACCGUAAUUACUGACUGGUGAGACAAUACCAGCACUAACGCACCGGAUCCCAACAGAACUCCGAAGUUAAGCGUGCUGCGGCGAGAGUAGAACUAGGAUGGGUGAACCCCUGGGACGUCCUCAUGUUGCACCCCUUUUCUCCUUUUGUACAAUUUUUUUUUACCCUUCUCGCCACUGAAGAAAAUUUUUCCCUAUCCCGCCCCACCAAGCGCUCCCCGCUGGCCCCUUGUUUUCUAUAGCCGCGGGCUCCGCGGACCCCACAAUCGCUGGCCCGUUCCCUCCGCUGUUGCGGCCGCUCCCUGCGCUGGACUGACAUCAAAUACGCUCGGACCGCAAUUACUGAUGGGUGCGACCAUAUCAGCACUAACGCACCGGAUCCCGUCAGAACUCCGAAGUUAAGCGUGCUCAGGCGAGAGUAGUACUAAGAUGGGUGAACCCCAGGGACGUCCUCGUGUUGCACCCCUUUUCUCCUUUUGUACAAUUUUUUUUUACCCUUCUCGCAGCUGAAGCAAUUUUUUCCCCUAUACCGCCCCUCCAAGCGCUCCCCGCUGGCCCCUUGCUUUCGAUCGGCGUCGGCUCCGCGGACCCCACAAUCGCUGGCCCGGUCCCUCCGCGGUUGCGAUCGCUCCCUGCGCUGGACUGACAUCAAAUACGCUCGGACCGCAAUUACUGACGGGUGCGACCAUACCAGCACUAACGCACCGGAUCCCAUCAGAACUCCGAAGUUAAGCGUGCUUGGGCGAGAGUAGUACUAGGAUGGGUGACCCC
RNAcentral lists this long non-coding RNA (6873 nucleotides) under Olea europaea (common olive). Lineage: Eukaryota; Viridiplantae; Streptophyta; Magnoliopsida; Lamiales; Oleaceae. The record is from RNAcentral.